UGGGGGAUAUUGCACAAUGGGCGAAAGCCUGAUGCAGCGACGCCGCGUGGGGGAUGAAGGCCUUCGGGUUGUAAACUUCUUUUGCUCUGAACAAGGCAUGCUAAUGGGUGUGUUGAGUGUAGGGGUUGAUUAGCGCCGGCUAACUACGUGCCAGCAGCCGCGGUAAUACGUAGGGCGCGAGCGUUGUCCGGAAUGAUUGGGCGUAAAGGGCUUGUAGGUGGCUGGUUGCGUCUGUCGUGAAAGCUCAUGGCUUAACUGUGGGUUUGCGGUGGGUACGGGCUGGCUUGAGUGCAGUAGGGGAGGCUGGAAUUCCUGGUGUAGCGGUGGAAUGCGCAGAUAUCAGGAGGAAUACCGGUGGCGAAGGCGGGUCUCUGGGCUGUUACUGACACUGAGGAGCGAAAGCAUGGGGAGCGAACAGG
Molecule: ribosomal RNA, 419 nt
Filed under: bacterium
Lineage: Bacteria
Description: partial 16S ribosomal RNA
Rfam family: Bacterial small subunit ribosomal RNA
Source: RNAcentral